This 73-nucleotide transfer RNA is filed under the name Corynebacterium diphtheriae bv. gravis. RNAcentral describes it as "tRNA-Arg". It matches the Rfam family "tRNA". Rfam says of the family: Transfer RNA (tRNA) molecules are approximately 80 nucleotides in length. Their secondary structure includes four short double-helical elements and three loops (D, anti-codon, and T loops). The record is from RNAcentral. Lineage: Bacteria; Bacillati; Actinomycetota; Actinomycetes; Mycobacteriales; Corynebacteriaceae.
GCGCCCGUAGCUCAACGGAUAGAGCAUCUGACUACGGAUCAGAAGGUUGGGGGUUCGAAUCCCUCCGGGUGCA